AGUGAACGCUGGCGGCAGGCCUAAUACAUGCAAGUCGAACGGCAGCACAGUGGAGCUUGCUCCAUGGGUGGCGAGUGGCGGACGGGUGAGGAAUACAUGGGAAUCUGCCCAGUCGUGGGGAUAACGUAUGGAAACGUACGCUAAUACCGCAUGCGCCCUUCGGGGGAAAGUCGGGGACCGCAAGGCCUGACGCGAUUGGAUGAGCCCAUGUUCGAUUAGCUAGUUGGCGGGUAACGGCCCACCAAGGCGACGAUCGAUAGCUGGUCUGAGAGGAUGAUCAGCCACACUGGAACUGAGACACGGUCCAGACUCCUACGGGAGCAGCAGUAGGGAAUAUUGGACAAUGGGCGCAAGCCUGAUCCAGCCAUGCCGCGUGAGUGAAGAAGGCCCUACGGGUU
RNAcentral lists this ribosomal RNA (398 nucleotides) under uncultured bacterium. RNAcentral's name for it is "bacterial SSU rRNA". It matches the Rfam family "Bacterial small subunit ribosomal RNA", at positions 29 to 424 of the family's 1533-position model. The record is from RNAcentral.